UAGACGCCUUUAUUGGCCUGGAUGUAGA
This 28-nucleotide small RNA is filed under the name Bombyx mori (domestic silkworm). RNAcentral's name for it is "ovarian small RNA-21932". The record is from RNAcentral. Lineage: Eukaryota; Metazoa; Arthropoda; Insecta; Lepidoptera; Bombycidae.